Molecule: ribosomal RNA, 459 nt
Filed under: uncultured bacterium
Lineage: Bacteria
Description: partial 16S ribosomal RNA
Rfam family: Bacterial small subunit ribosomal RNA
Source: RNAcentral
CCUACGGGGUGCAGCAGUGAGGAAUAUUGGUCAAUGGCCGCAGGGCUGAACCAGCCAAGUCGCGUGAGGGAUGACGGUCCUAUGGAUUGUAAACCUCUUUUGUCAGGGAGCACAGGGCGCCACGUGUGGCGCUUUGCGAGUACCUGAAGAAAACGCAUCGGCUAACUCCGUGCCAGCAGCCGCGGUAAUACGGAGGGUGCGAGCGUUAUCCGGAUUUAUUGGGUUUAAAGGGUGCGCAGGCGGAAUGUCAAGUCAGCGGUAAAAUUUCGGGGCUCAACCCCGUCGUGCCGUUGAAACUGGCGUUCUUGAGUGAGCGAGAAGUAUGCGGAAUGCGUGGGGUAGCGGUGAAAUGCAUAGAGAUCACGCAGAACUCCGAUUGCGAAGGCAGCAUACCGGCGCUCAACUGACGCUCAUGCACGAAAGCGUGGGUAUCGAACAGGAUUAGAUACCCGGGUAGUC